RNAcentral lists this ribosomal RNA (497 nucleotides) under uncultured bacterium. RNAcentral's name for it is "partial 16S ribosomal RNA". It matches the Rfam family "Bacterial small subunit ribosomal RNA", at positions 28 to 507 of the family's 1533-position model. The record is from RNAcentral.
GAUGAACGCUGGCGGCGUGCCUAAUACAUGCAAGUCGAGCGAACAGAUAAGGAGCUUGCUCCUUUGACGUUAGCGGCGGACGGGUGAGUAACACGUGGGUAACCUACCUAUAAGACUGGAAUAACUCCGGGAAACCGGGGCUAAUGCCGGAUAACAUUUAGAACCGCAUGGUUCUAAAGUGAAAGAUGGUUUUGCUAUCACUUAUAGAUGGACCCGCGCCGUAUUAGCUAGUUGGUAAGGUAACGGCUUACCAAGGCAACGAUACGUAGCCGACCUGAGAGGGUGAUCGGCCACACGGGAACUGGGACACGGUCCAGACUCCUACGGGAGGCAGCAGUAGGGAAUCUUCGGCAAUGGGCGAAAGCCUGACGGAGCAACGCCGCGUGAGUGAUGAAGGUCUUCGGAUCGUAAAACUCUGUUAUUAGGGAAGAACAAAUGUGUAAGUAACUGUGCACGUCUUGACGGUACCUAAUCAGAAAGCCACGGCUAACUACGUG